RNAcentral lists this ribosomal RNA (406 nucleotides) under uncultured bacterium. Its description in RNAcentral is "partial 16S ribosomal RNA". It matches the Rfam family "Bacterial small subunit ribosomal RNA", at positions 30 to 526 of the family's 1533-position model. The record is from RNAcentral.
AUUGAACGCUGGCGGCAGGCCUAACACAUGCAAGUCGAACGAGUGGCGGACGGGUGAGUAAUGUCUGGGAAACUGCCUGAUGGAGGGGGAUAACUACUGGAAACGGUAGCUAAUACCGCAUACCAUCGGAUGUGCACAGAUGGGAUUAGCUAGUAGGUGGGGUAAUGGCUCACCGAGGCGACGAUCCCUAGCUGGUCUGAGCGGAGGAUCAGCGACACUGGAACUGAGACACGGUCCGGACUCCUACGUGAGGCAGCAGAGGGGAAUAUUGCCCAAUGGGCGCAAGCCUGAUGCAGCCAUGCCGCGUGUAUGAAGAAGGCCUUCGGGUUUUAAAGUACUUUAAGAGGGGAGGAGUUACCCGCAGAAGAAGCACCGGCUAACUACGUGCCAGCCGCCGCGGUAAUAC